This 458-nucleotide ribosomal RNA is filed under the name uncultured bacterium. RNAcentral's name for it is "bacterial SSU rRNA". It matches the Rfam family "Bacterial small subunit ribosomal RNA", at positions 28 to 468 of the family's 1533-position model. The record is from RNAcentral.
GAUGAACGCUGGCGGCGUGCCUAAUACAUGCAAGUCGAGCGAACGGACGAGAAGCUUGCUUCUCUGAUGUUAGCGGCGGACGGGUGAGUAACACGUGGAUAACCUACCUAUAAGACUGGGAUAACUUCGGGAAACCGGAGCUAAUACCGGAUAAUAUUUUGAACCGCAUGGUUCAAAAGUGAAAGACGGUCUUGCUGUCACUUAUAGAUGGAUCCGCGCUGCAUUAGCUAGUUGGUAAGGUAACGGCUUACCAAGGCAACGAUGCAUAGCCGACCUGAGAGGGUGAUCGGCCACACUGGAACUGAGACACGGUCCAGACUCCUACGGGAGGCAGCAGUAGGGAAUCUUCCGCAAUGGGCGAAAGCCUGACGGAGCAACGCCGCGUGAGUGAUGAAGGUCUUCGGAUCGUAAAACUCUGUUAUUAGGGAAGAACAUAUGUGUAAGUAACUGUGCACAUC